RNAcentral lists this ribosomal RNA (1495 nucleotides) under Klebsiella aerogenes. RNAcentral's name for it is "bacterial LSU rRNA". It matches the Rfam family "Bacterial large subunit ribosomal RNA", at positions 1046 to 2522 of the family's 2925-position model. The record is from RNAcentral. Lineage: Bacteria; Pseudomonadati; Pseudomonadota; Gammaproteobacteria; Enterobacterales; Enterobacteriaceae.
CCCAAAGUCAUGGUUAAGUGGGAAACGAUGUGGGAAGGCCCAGACAGCCAGGAUGUUGGCUUAGAAGCAGCCAUCAUUUAAAGAAAGCGUAAUAGCUCACUGGUCGAGUCGGCCUGCGCGGAAGAUGUAACGGGGCUAAACCAUGCACCGAAGCUGCGGCAGCGACACUUAGGUGUUGUUGGGUAGGGGAGCGUUCUGUAAGCCGUUGAAGGUGGACUGUGAGGUCUGCUGGAGGUAUCAGAAGUGCGAAUGCUGACAUAAGUAACGAUAAAGCGGGUGAAAAGCCCGCUCGCCGGAAGACCAAGGGUUCCUGUCCAACGUUAAUCGGGGCAGGGUGAGUCGCACCCUAGGCGAGGCCGAAAGGCGUAGUCGAUGGGAAACAGGUUAAUAUUCCUGUACUUGGUGUUACUGCGAAGGGGGGACGGAGAAGGCUAUGUUGGCCGGGCGACGGUUGUCCCGGUUUAAGCAUGUAGGCGGAGGUUCCAGGUAAAUCCGGUACCUUUUAACGCUGAGGUGUGAUGACGAGGCACUACGGUGCUGAAGUAACAAAUGCCCUGCUUCCAGGAAAAGCCUCUAAGCAUCAGGUAACACGAAAUCGUACCCCAAACCGACACAGGUGGUCAGGUAGAGAAUACCAAGGCGCUUGAGAGAACUCGGGUGAAGGAACUAGGCAAAAUGGUGCCGUAACUUCGGGAGAAGGCACGCUGGCACGUAGGUGAAGCGGUUUACCCGUGGAGCUGAAGCCAGUCGAAGAUACCAGCUGGCUGCAACUGUUUAUUAAAAACACAGCACUGUGCAAACACGAAAGUGGACGUAUACGGUGUGACGCCUGCCCGGUGCCGGAAGGUUAAUUGAUGGGGUUAGCGGCAACGCGAAGCUCUUGAUCGAAGCCCCGGUAAACGGCGGCCGUAACUAUAACGGUCCUAAGGUAGCGAAAUUCCUUGUCGGGUAAGUUCCGACCUGCACGAAUGGCGUAAUGAUGGCCAGGCUGUCUCCACCCGAGACUCAGUGAAAUUGAAAUCGCUGUGAAGAUGCAGUGUACCCGCGGCAAGACGGAAAGACCCCGUGAACCUUUACUAUAGCUUGACACUGAACACUGGUCCUUGAUGUGUAGGAUAGGUGGGAGGCUUUGAAGCGUGGACGCCAGUCUGCGUGGAGCCGUCCUUGAAAUACCACCCUUUAAUGGCUGGUGUUCUAACGUGGACCCGUAAUCCGGGUUGCGGACAGUGUCUGGUGGGUAGUUUGACUGGGGCGGUCUCCUCCUAAAGCGUAACGGAGGAGCACGAAGGUUGGCUAAUCCUGGUCGGACAUCAGGAGGUUAGUGCAAUGGCAUAAGCCAGCUUGACUGCGAGCGUGACGGCGCGAGCAGGUGCGAAAGCAGGUCAUAGUGAUCCGGUGGUUCUGAAUGGAAGGGCCAUCGCUCAACGGAUAAAAGGUACUCCGGGGAUAACAGGCUGAUACCGCCCAAGAGUUCAUAUCGACGGCGGUGUUUGGC